This 419-nucleotide ribosomal RNA is filed under the name uncultured bacterium. RNAcentral describes it as "bacterial SSU rRNA". It matches the Rfam family "Bacterial small subunit ribosomal RNA", at positions 355 to 774 of the family's 1533-position model. The record is from RNAcentral.
UGAGGAAUAUUGCACAAUGGGCGCAAGCCUGAUGCAGCGACGCCGCGUGUGGGAUGAAGGGGCUACGCCUCGUAAACCACUGUAGCCCGGGACGAAAAACGCCUUAGAGGCGUUAGACGGUACCGGGAAAGUAAGGGUCGGCUAACUACGUGCCAGCAGCCGCGGUAAUACGUAGGGUGCGAGCGUUAAUCGGAAUUACUGGGCGUAAAGGGUGCGCAGGCGGUCUUGCAAGUCAGAUGUGAAAGCCCCGGGCUUAACCUGGGAAUUGCGUUUGAAACUACAAGACUAGAGUGCAGCAGAGGGGAGUGGAAUUCCAUGUGUAGCAGUGAAAUGCGUAGAGAUGUGGAAGAACACCGAUGGCGAAGGCAGCUCCCUGGGUUGACACUGACGCUCAUGCACGAAAGCGUGGGGAGCAAACA